AUUGAACGCUGGCGGCAGGCUUAACACAUGCAAGUCGAGCGGGGGAAGGUAGCUUGCUACCGGACCUAGCGGCGGACGGGUGAGUAAUGCUUAGGAAUCUGCCUACUAGUGGGGCAUAACACAGCGAAAGUUGUGCUAAUGCCGCAUAAGUAAGCAAUUAGAAAGGGGCGGUCGCAAGACGUCCCGCUGAAAGACGAGCCUGCGGCCUAUUAGCUAGUUGGUGGGGUAAUGGCCUACCAAGGCAACGAUAGGGACCCGGUCUGAGAGGAUGAGCGGACACACUGGAACUGAGACACGGUCCAGACUCCUACGGGAGGCAGCAGUAGGGAAUAUUGCGCAAGGGGGGAAACCCUGACGCAGCAACGCCGCGUGAGUGAGGAAGGUCAUCGGAUUGUAAAACUCUUUUAUUUGGGAAAAAUGGUCACGUAACUAAUAGCACGUGAUUUGAUGGUACCAAAAGAAUAAGGACCGGCUAACUUCGUGCCAGCCGCCGCCGUAA
Molecule: ribosomal RNA, 499 nt
Filed under: uncultured bacterium
Lineage: Bacteria
Description: partial 16S ribosomal RNA
Rfam family: Bacterial small subunit ribosomal RNA
Source: RNAcentral